CCAAACUUGAUUUUGUCACCCUCUGGAUUAGAAUCCUUCUGUGACUCCGCUGCCCAUGAAGUCCAAAUGACUUCCUAUGGGGUGAAAGGUCCAGUGGGGACUGUUCGAGGGUUCCCUCUAGGAGUAUUUCCUGUCAUGAUGAACUGUGUGCAGCUCUGCAGACACUCCCAGCACCUCUUCGACUUUGCUCCUGCUUCACCAGUGAUGUCCUCCCUGGGGUCAGUUUACCCUGCGUGGGAGGUGAAUUCCCUGGGGGAAACUUAGGCUCCCUUCUGCUGCUCUUGUGCAGUGCACGGGGCUGUCCUCAUUUUCUCCGUUCCCCAUUGCUUCUUUAAUGUCUCAGUGCACUUCCUUCAUUCCAUUGCCAAAAUGCAAGCCCCUUGAGGGCAGGGACCAUGCUUGACUCGUUUUUGUAUGCCUAAUGCCUAGCACAGAGUUGAACACAUUACUGCCAAUUCAUUUUUUUCAAUGACAAUUCCAUAAACAUCAUUAGGCAUUAGGUGUUCAGCUCUGCAUAUAAGGUCUUCAUCAGCAAGACGGUUACAAGUAUAAACCAUUUCCUAUUUCAGAAUAUUUUAAUAUUCAACAUAUUUGUAUACCCACAUUCUCUUGUUACAAUUAUUGCCAGAAAGCCAAUUGAUAAGCUUUCAAAAUGGGCUUAUCACACCCCUCCAAAAAUAGAUUUUUGUUUUUUCUAUAAACAGAAAUUUCAGAAAUGAGAUUUGAGAGAUCCGACUGAGAAGACCCUUCAGUAAAAUGUGACAUGACUUACCUUAUGCUGUAAUCUGUAUUCCCUCAGGAUUUAAGAGCUUCCUAGCAUAAAAUCUUUGCUAAACGUUUGUGUACAUGUUAUUGGUGCUCCGAAAAAUAGUCAAUGGAAUGGUGCACUACAAUUGGGCUUUAUCAUCUUAUUUUGAACCUCGUGUAGAUUACAGUAAAGCAAACCAUUCAGUGUGUUCCAGGAAAUUAUAUUAGAUCUGUGUUUCUAUCAGCUCACUGGAAUAAUCUGAUAAUUGUUACUUUUACUUGGUAUGGCUGCAAGAAUAGUGGAAAGAAGAGGACUUGAGAGUUGGUCGAACCCAGGUUUGAAAUCUGGCUUAGUCAUUUUUCAGCUGUUAUCCUGGGUGAGUUUUGCCAACUUUCUUAGCUUCAUUUCCCUCAUUAAUACGGUGGGACAUAACAGCUACUCUUGCAUUGAAAAUUAAGUUAGAUUACCUGUCUAGCAUACCCAUCAUCAUACACUUACUAUGGUCACAUUUUGUAUUUAAAAUAAACUAAUACGAAAAAUAUUUCUUUUUUUUUACACAGAAUUAUGAUUCUCACAGGGUAUAUAAAUUACUGAUUAGAAUUAUUUAUAUGUGGCCAAUUCUUAAUGUCAUUGGGAAUGCUGUUUCAUUUCAAUCCUCAAAGUUACUGUAGCACAGAAAAUAUCACAAUUUCCUGCAGGGACAUUAUCAGUAAGUUCUGCAGGGAACAAACAAUUGACAUUAAAAAUCAGUACUCUGCAAUUGUCACUGUUAUCAUCUGCUAGAAACUCUGCAUAAUGCAUUUUAAACCACCAAGGCUGGCUGCCACAUCCAUGUGAAAUGCUUGAAUUUUAUGGUGCUUAAAUAUUUAAUGAUUCAUGGGAAAAAUGUGAAAUGUGUCUAAUAAAUUGCAUCCCUUUCUCUAACCUCUGGUUGUAAAGUUAAAGACUUUCAGCAUGUAACUUUUGCAAGAUGCCUGGUCUGCCAUUGGCACUUAAAUAUUUGUUGUAUUACGAUUUAUAAUAUGGUUCAUUAUAUAUAAAAUUCUGUGAUGACUUCCAAAAA
RNAcentral lists this long non-coding RNA (1811 nucleotides) under Homo sapiens (human). Its description in RNAcentral is "non-protein coding lnc-IRS1-3:1". The record is from RNAcentral. Lineage: Eukaryota; Metazoa; Chordata; Mammalia; Primates; Hominidae.